GACGAACGCUGGCGGCGUGCUUAACACAUGCAAGUCGAACGGAAAGGCCCUGCUUUUGUGGGGUGCUCGAGUGGCGAACGGGUGAGUAACACGUGAGUAACCUGCCCUUGACUUUGGGAUAACUUCAGGAAACUGGGGCUAAUACCGGAUAGGAGCUCCUGCUGCAUGGUGGGGGUUGGAAAGUUUCGGCGGUUGGGGAUGGACUCGCGGCUUAUCAGCUUGUUGGUGGGGUAGUGGCUUACCAAGGCUUCGACGGGUAGCCGGCCUGAGAGGGUGACCGGCCACAUUGGGACUGAGAUACGGCCCAGACUCCUACGGGAGGCAGCAGUGGGGAAUAUUGCACGAUGGGCGGAAGCCUGAAGCAGCAGCGCCGCGUGAGGGAUGACGGCCUUCGGGUUGUAAACCGCUUUCGCCUGUGACGAAGCGUGAGUGACGGUAAUGGGUAAAGAAGCACCGGCUAACUACGUG
RNAcentral lists this ribosomal RNA (468 nucleotides) under uncultured bacterium. Its description in RNAcentral is "partial 16S ribosomal RNA". It matches the Rfam family "Bacterial small subunit ribosomal RNA", at positions 28 to 507 of the family's 1533-position model. The record is from RNAcentral.